GGCACUUGCAACUUUAUUGCGCCAGCAAGAACAUGCAUACAGCCCAGUCUAACGUACAGGAUCAAAAAGAGACCUUAUUUCGGCUGGCAAUUACCUUACCCGCUUGUUCAUUAUCUGACUCCUGCACUCCUCCCAAGUGUUCAAUGUUAACCAGAUGGCAAAGUUAACCAGACAGAGGAAAUCCACAUAAUUACUCUAGAUGAAGCCCCCUAACUGCGGAUUAGAAGGAAAAGAGAUGAAGGGUGCUGCACUAAUAAUAACAACCAUUUUCAACCAAGGCAGGAUUCUGGGCCUAGAAUCUUCAGUGACAAAUUACCAGGAGAGGAGGAGGGAAAUGAAGAGCUGGAGGCCUAGGGAGAUGGUGUGAGGAGAGGAGACUGUGCCUUUCCACUUCUUAAUAAUUAAUGUUCUCCUGCUGCUCUGAGUCUGCAUCACCAGUGAUUCAGUUUGAGUCAGACAUCCAACAACAACUGAGCAAAAGAAUCAUCUCAGAUCCAAGCAAUGGUGACGCGCAGAUAGAAGAGACUGAGGCCAACGACCAAAGCAAAGGACAGCAGAACUGACUGACACAGCUCAGAAAAUAUCCAAAGCUCUGUAUGCUCUGGAAAGGAAGACAAGAAAUGCUAAAGACUCUGGAUAUUGCUCUGUUUCUAUAAGGUCCCACCCAUAUACCAUCUCUUCUUUUGGAUUUCCUUUGGCAGGGUUCCCUUGUAUGGAAGUUCUCAGGAGAACAACACUCUCAGAGUCCCACUGUCUCAAAGAAUUCUUAAUGGACAGGACAGAUUCCAAGCCUCUUGGAUAAGACUGAAGCCCUCCAUCACAGCCCAUCAAUCCGUUUCCUGGAGUUCGGAACCACAGCCAUGUGCCUCAUCAGUGUAAGACUGAGUCUCAGCUCUCACUUCAAGGAGGACUCAAGACAAGCAAAAGAAGUAAACUUUUGCUGGGUGCAGUGGCUCACGCCUGUAAUCCCGGCACUUUGGGAGGCCAAGGUGGUGGAUUACUUGAGGUCAGCAGUUUGAGACCAGCCUGACCAACAUGAUGAAACGUUAUCUGUACUAAAAAUACAAAAAUUAGGCUGGGCGCCAUGGCUCAUCCCUGUAAUCCCAGCACUUUGGGAGACCGAGGUGGGUGGAUCACCUGAGGUCAGAAGUUUGAGACCAGCCUGGGCAACAGAAUGAAACCCCAUCUCUACUAAAAAUACAAAAAUAAACUGGGUGUGGUGGCA
This 1225-nucleotide long non-coding RNA is filed under the name Homo sapiens (human). RNAcentral's name for it is "PREDICTED lncRNA (TCONS_00163803)". The record is from RNAcentral. Lineage: Eukaryota; Metazoa; Chordata; Mammalia; Primates; Hominidae.